Salvia hispanica is the source of this 596-nucleotide non-coding RNA. NCBI's taxonomy places the organism in Eukaryota, Viridiplantae, Streptophyta, Magnoliopsida, Lamiales, Lamiaceae. The record is from RefSeq and is a predicted model, not a curated record.
GACAGUUCAAUUUUUUUAAAGAUAAGUUGAGAUUUUAUGAUGAUGUUUGUUUCGAGUCAAAACCUUUUAAAGUUUGAAAGUAAAGGCUUUUGAGUUUGGAGAAAAUGUGUGAGUUUCAAAAGUAUUUUGAGUUUCAAGAGAAAACGAGUAACUUUUGUUUCUUUCGAAGAGCUUGGAUUGUGGAAGUGAACGAGAAACGCGAAGGUGCUGCGACAUAGGAUGCGAGGUGUUAUGUGUUUAUGCAUGUUUAAUUACGUGAGAGAUAUGAAUGACGUUUUAUGUAAUGGUUUGUAGAUGUUGAGGUAUGAGGUAGAUUAUGAAAUUGUUGAUGGAAGUGAAGUAUGAGACAAUGAGCUUUGCGUGCGAACAUAGAGUAACUAAGAGAUAGGCUAGGAUGAACAUGCUCGAAUUUAGUUAAGAAGUUUCAGCUGCAACCCCACUUUCCUGAGUGAUAAGAUUAACUAAAAUCUGUAGUUGAGCUCGAGUUAAGAUGGGUAGUUACAAUUUCCUAUCAUUUUCCCUGAACCUUAAAAACAAGGAGAAUACAAAACGAUGUUGCGUGUGAUAAGGAGUUCAAGAAGAAAAGAAGUUCAAAA